Long non-coding RNA from Sapajus apella (tufted capuchin), 234 nucleotides. RefSeq lists it as uncharacterized. The transcript is spliced from 3 exons. NCBI's taxonomy places the organism in Eukaryota, Metazoa, Chordata, Mammalia, Primates, Cebidae. The record is from RefSeq and is a predicted model, not a curated record.
UUCUGUUUUUUGGUCCUUGAAGAAUUGUCACACUGUCUUCCACAAUGGCUGAACUAAUUUACACUCCCACCAAUCGUGUAUAAAUGUUCCUUCACCAUAACCUUGCCAAUAUCUGUUAUUUUUUGACUUCUUAAUGAUAGCCAUUCUGACUGGUGGGAGAUGGUAUCUCACUGUGGUUUUGAUUUGCAUUUCCCUAGUUAUCAGUGACAUUGAGCUUGUUUUCAUUUGCUUAUU